AAACAUCACGCAUUGCAGCAAUCUGUAUGAAUCAAUAUGAUUCUCAUGAGGAACUAAUCCAAAUACAAGGAACCACAAAUGAAAUUGCUGAAAGAUCAUGAAACUGGAAAGGUUUGAAUCCAAAUACAAGGAACUAAUCCAAAUCCAGCAAUCUGGAAAGGUUUGAAUUCAGCAAUUUGCUGAAAGAUCAUGAAACUGGUUUAAUGAAAUGGCUUCAAAAGAGUGGUUAGGCAUCAAAGAAGAGUACCUCUACCCAUAAGCAUAAUCCAGU
This 271-nucleotide unclassified non-coding RNA is filed under the name Hevea brasiliensis (rubber tree). The record is from RNAcentral. Lineage: Eukaryota; Viridiplantae; Streptophyta; Magnoliopsida; Malpighiales; Euphorbiaceae.